CCUUCGUGCCGUAAAUAAACAAUUCCCUGGAGCGCACUGACUUCUUCGUAGGUAGAUAUACGAGGGGUCUAACAACAUGGGGUUUGGAAUUGACCUUGAGUUAACUUGAACUAAUAAGUCCGAGAUUACAAAACUCUAUCACCAAUAAACCUGUAGCGGAUCGGAAGGGAAAGGAGACUAAAAUUAGGUCUCCGACACGCUUACUCAGACUAAACGCAGAAUUGCUACCACUUCACCGUUAUUUUCUGUGUGAUCGUGGUAUUUGACUUGGAGCCGGCCAAUUCGUGCGUCAGAUGUUGCUGCCGUCUACCACUGUUAAGGAAUGGGCCGGUUAAACCAUGAAUGGCCACAUAGAAGACAAGU
This is a long non-coding RNA of Papilio xuthus (Asian swallowtail), 363 nucleotides long. RefSeq lists it as uncharacterized. The record is from RefSeq and is a predicted model, not a curated record. Lineage: Eukaryota; Metazoa; Arthropoda; Insecta; Lepidoptera; Papilionidae. The transcript is spliced from 3 exons.